UCCCCCGUGAGGGGGCAGUCUCGCCUGACUUGUAAAACAGGCAACGCGGGUUACAUUCGUUACCCCACUGAAGGGAACAACUCAAGCCACGAAUUGACGACGACCAUGCAUCACCUGCCCAGCCGUCUUGCGAAGGCCUAGUUUCCUAGGAUGUCGUCUGGGUUUCAAACCCUGGUGAGGUUUUUCGUUUAUCAUCGAAUUAAGCCGCAUGAUCCACCGCUUGUGCAAGUCCCCGUCUAUUCCUUUGAGUUUUAAUCUUGCGAUCGUACUACCCAGGCGCACAACUUAACGCGUUAGCUUCGCCACAAAGAGGGUCGAUACUCCUUAUAGCCAGUUGUGAUCGUUUAGGGCGUGGACUAC
Molecule: unclassified non-coding RNA, 360 nt
Filed under: uncultured bacterium
Lineage: Bacteria
Description: contains 16S-23S intergenic spacer region
Source: RNAcentral